Molecule: small nuclear RNA, 159 nt
Filed under: Erinaceus europaeus (western European hedgehog)
Lineage: Eukaryota; Metazoa; Chordata; Mammalia; Eulipotyphla; Erinaceidae
Description: U2 spliceosomal RNA (ENSEEUG00000022317.1)
Rfam family: U2 spliceosomal RNA (bases 1-138)
About the family: U2 is a small nuclear RNA (snRNA) component of the spliceosome (involved in pre-mRNA splicing). Complementary binding between U2 snRNA (in an area lying towards the 5' end but 3' to hairpin I) and the branchpoint sequence (BPS) of the intron results the bulging out of an unpaired adenosine, on the BPS, which initiates a nucleophilic attack at the intronic 5' splice site, thus starting the first of two transesterification reactions that mediate splicing.
Source: RNAcentral
GCCGCAUCUUGGCCUUUUGGCUAAGAUCAAGUGUAGUAUCUGUUCUUAUCAGUUUAACAUGAAUUUUUCAAGGUCCAUCCAAGAUUGGCUGAAAAUGGUGAAGUCACCAUAUUUUUUUUUAGCUGAAUAGUAUUCCAUUGUGUAUAUAUACUACAACUU